UAGAUAAUCCCUCCGUCCGGAAAUACUUGUCCUAGAAAUGAAUAAAAUGGAUGUACCUAUAACUAAAAUAAGUCUAGAUACAUCCAUUUGUAAGACAAGUAUUUCCGGACGGAGGGAGUAUAAG
Non-coding RNA from Hordeum vulgare subsp. vulgare (domesticated barley), 124 nucleotides. NCBI's taxonomy places the organism in Eukaryota, Viridiplantae, Streptophyta, Magnoliopsida, Poales, Poaceae. The record is from Rfam.